AAAAGACAAAGGAGAGUCAUUGAUUUUGCCAGCAGCAUUUGGAUGCAGCCAAAAUCCAGAGAGCAGCUGAAAUUCCUCAGCAAAAGGGAACCCACACGGUGUCUGAUGCCUCCUGAAUUCCAUGGCGUGCCAGGGGAAGAGGCUCUGAUGUCUCAACACGUUGACACAAAAAUUCUUCACUGUGGCUGGGAGACAAGAGUGUGAAAAAACCAGAAGGCCCCUGAGGACUGAAUGGGCUGAGGAAAUGGGAGACACAGAAUUUGCUGGAAGAGGAAAGAGCUUUAUCAGACCAACUCAUACAAGACAGAAAACUGGAAAUCUGAAGGACAGAGAGACUUUAGGUGGUUUUCAUGUCUCAGGUGACAAGAUUUUUGCUCGCCAACACCAGAUACUCUGUUCCAUAUUUAGCAGCUAAUUUAGGCAACUCUUGUAUUUUUCUAUCAAGCCUGGUUUUCUCCACCAUCUCAGAAAGUGAGAAAUAUACAUCUUUGCUAUCCUUCCUUGUGCUUUUAAUUCCAUCUUUAGUUGUCUACUGCUGGUUUCCUUUCUGUCUGUCCAUGUCUGGGGACUUUGCCUACCCUGAGACUCACUGCUGAGCCCCUCCUUGAUGAACUCAAAUUUCCAUUCACUUUAAUGACACAGAAAUUACAUCUCCUCUCAUUCCUUCUGCUAUGCCUACAGCUUAAAAUCUCUCCAUUUCAAACCUUGGAGCUGUUUCUUUGGGAAUGUCUCAUGAAAUUUGUUGCAGAUGUCACAUGAGUGUAAGGUCAUAUUCCUUAUGCAAUGUAAAUAGGUUUUGGCAUUUGCAACUCAGGGAAAAGAUCCAAUUGCAUUGAAAGACAGAAAUAGAAAGUGAGGCUUAAAUUUUAAUGCAGGCAAUUAAAUUCCACUACCAGCAUUUUGAGAUUAAUGGUACAGUGAAACAGGCCCACUGCUUGUGGCUCAUUCUACUAAAACGGAAUUAGAUUCAUAAUAUGAACAUAUGGAAGCAGUUCCCUUCAUGUAUAUUUAAAUUCAAUAUUAAUAUUUAACACUUAUAUUCAGGGCUAUGAUUUUUCAGUCAAAAUACAGCAAAGAUUGGAGCAAAAUCUUCCACUGCUGCAACUCAAGAAGCAGUUAUUCAUUUCAGUAUAAUUAAUGUGGAUUUAAAGCUGAACCCAAAAGGAAUACUCCUGGUAGCAGACUGUCUAUGCAUCAGUUUUAAAUUUAGUCUUUAACACCUUGAGGUUCAAUUUUUAUUCUAAUGUGCCAUUCACAAAACAUUUCCUCAAUUUUAGAAGAAGGGGGAAAAAAUAUCUCUUACCAGAAAAGGAGUGGAAUGGAGUAGCAAUCUGUACCACCAGCCAGCAAAUUCACACCAGCUGAGCCUUACCCCAGAUUGCUGGAACAAUGUGUAACCUCCUAGAGAGAGAGAGAGGUGUAUCCCUGCCUAAUUAUAAAUGGCAGUGUGAAUUCCUGCCUCUGUCCAGUUACAUUUCCUAAAGAUAGUUCUUGAACAAACCAUCACCUCAAGAGUGUUGAUCUGUCUCCCACUAUCUCCCAGGAGCUCCUCCUCCUCCAGGAGGAGGUGGGAGUGGGACACCAUAGCCCUGAGGUACCAGUGGAACCCCCAAGAAUUCCCCUUUCCCCCAUUUCUCUCCGUGUCAUUCUCAGCACCGCAGUUUAAAAGGCUGGAGUAGCAUUCCCCACAGGCAGCUGACAGUGAAACAGACUUUUUAGUCACCACAGGGAUUUUCCCCACUCCUGCCGCUGCUCAGACACCUGUGUGUGCUGGCUUCACUGCUGAUUUUGGUGGCAGCUGUUUGAAUCCACACGUGACUGUUCUGAACUCAUCCCUGAGAGAGCAAUUCACAAUCCUCUGCUUUGGAGCUGGAAUGGGUGUGCUGAGAGGGCAGUCGGGAACCACAAAAAGAUGGAGCUGUCUGCUUUGAGUUUGGGACUGUAGCUGAUGGAGUUUGUGCACUUGCUGAUUGGUGUAUUCAGGCAUCCUAAACCCCAGGGUUUCAGAAGACAUGGGUUUUAGGAAAGACAGUGCUUUGCAAAUGCUUGUAAAUAAAAAAAACCCAAAGAUGUUCAGAAGUCCUUGUCUUCACUGCUAUUUAAAAAUAUAAAAAAGGCUGAAGUAGGCUGAAAAAGUAAAAACGGCUGAAAGCAGUUUUGACACAAACUGGGGACUUAAGAGCCCAUCUUCUUUCUUUCCCUUGAUGAAUGCAUCAAGGGAUGCAUUUCUUUCCCUUGGGAUGAAUGCAUCCCAAGAUGCAUUCAUUGUGGAUGUUAUGUGCUUUUAGUCUAUGCACACUUUGAUAUUCAAGUUUGCAAUUAUCUCCAAGAGAUCCCCAUACCCAGUGCUCCUGAAGUAAUUCAUCCCACCGUUAGCACGACCUGCUUCUAACAUAUGAAUAGUGUGGUGUUAACUUAAACUAGCAACAUAAGAACAAAACCAAUCCAUUCAUUCCUUACUCUUGUUAAUCUACUGGAUAUUCCAGAUUUUAAUGUACUCAGAAGACUAUGCUCUUUUCUCUUAAUAAUGAACAUUCCAAAUAUAGAGGAAAUAUAGAAUGUAGUAAACUCCCUACCUUUUACCUAUAUCCCUGUUGUUUUUUUCAUUUUUUCUCAUGCUUUUAUCUAGCACUGAAAAAAAAUGUUUUUCAGGGAAAUGUAG
Zonotrichia albicollis (white-throated sparrow) is the source of this 2662-nucleotide non-coding RNA. Lineage: Eukaryota; Metazoa; Chordata; Aves; Passeriformes; Passerellidae. The record is from RefSeq and is a predicted model, not a curated record.